GAGUUAAUGGCAUAUCCCCACCACUGAUCUCACUUACCUAGCCAACCUGGUGAGUUAGGUUUUGAUUAGAUCACUUGGUGAUUAGGGCUCACCCAUGUCAUUAGGUAAAUCAGUUUGACUGAUUUAGGUGCUCCUAAUGCCAGCUUUAAUUAAAUCCUUUUUUAAUCUGACUUUGUGAAGUCAGUGGGAGGAUUGAAAUUGACU
Molecule: long non-coding RNA, 204 nt
Filed under: Elaeis guineensis (African oil palm)
Lineage: Eukaryota; Viridiplantae; Streptophyta; Magnoliopsida; Arecales; Arecaceae
Description: long non-coding RNA (EGUI_LNC057666)
Source: RNAcentral